GGGGAAUCUUCCGCAAUGGGCGCAAGCCUGACAGUGCGACGCCGCGUGAAGGACUAAGGCCCUCUGGGGCCGUAAACUUCUUUGCACGGGCACAGGAAGACUGACCGCCCGGGAAGCAAGCAUCGGCUAACUCCGUGCCAGCAGCCGCGGUAAUACGGGGGAUGCAAGCGUUAUCCGGAUUUACUGGGCGUAAAGCGUCUGUAGGUGGUUCGGUGUGUCUGUUGUCGAAACGCAGGGCUUAACUCUGUGGGGCAUGUGGAUACUAUCGAACUAGAGGGCGGUAGGGGUGGGGGGAAUCCCUCGAGGAGCAGUGAAAUGCUUAGAUACCUGGGAGAAGGCCGGAAGCGGAAGCUGCCCACUGGGCCGCGCCUGACACUGAGAGACGAAAGCUAGGGGAGCCAAAGGGAUUAGAUACCCCUGUAGUC
Molecule: ribosomal RNA, 425 nt
Filed under: uncultured cyanobacterium
Lineage: Bacteria; Bacillati; Cyanobacteriota
Description: bacterial SSU rRNA
Rfam family: Bacterial small subunit ribosomal RNA
Source: RNAcentral